RNAcentral lists this ribosomal RNA (428 nucleotides) under uncultured archaeon. RNAcentral describes it as "bacterial SSU rRNA". It matches the Rfam family "Archaeal small subunit ribosomal RNA", at positions 474 to 903 of the family's 1478-position model. The record is from RNAcentral.
UACCUGCAGCUCGAGUGGUAACCGCUAUUAUUGGGCCUAAAGCGUCCGUAGCCGGUUUGGUAAAUAUCUGGGUAAAUCGUGAGGCUUAACUUCACGAAUUUCGGAUAGACUGCCAGACUUGGGAUCGGGGGAGGUCAGAGGUACUCCAGGGGUAGCGAUGAAAUGUUGUAAUCCUUGGAGGACCACCGGUAGCGAAGGCGUCUGACUAGAACGAGUCCGACGGUGGGGGACGAAGCCCUGGGGCGCAAACCGGAUUAGAUACCCGGGUAGUCCAGGGUGUAAACAAUGUGGGCUUUGUAUUGGAGGUCCCACGUGGGCGUCCAGUGCAGAAGAGAAGUUGUUAAGCCCACCGCCUGGGAAGUACGGUCGCAAGGCUGAAACUUAAAGGAAUUGGCGGGGAGCACAGCAACGGGAGGAGCGUGCGGUUU